GAAUGUGGGCUAUGGAUGAUGGAAGUGAAGUGGGCUAAAACAAAAUGAAGCCACAUGUUGUGUGACAGAAGGAGAAGGCAGUUUUCUUUUUCUAUUAUGUUAAAAUGCUGAGGUUCACACAGACUGUGUUUGAGUCACCAGACAUUUGGUUGCAUUUUAAAUUGGUAGCUAUGAUGUUACUUGAUGAUGUGACACCUCAUCAUCGCGUCAUGGCGCUUUCAAAUCAAUGGUAAGAUCUGGUUUCUUUCUGCUCUUAUUUUUGAAGCCAGUGUGAUGGUGUCUUCCACCUGCAGACGGACUCAGAGUGAUUAAAAGAGGUUUCAGGCUUUGUCCCAGGUGACACGAGCUGUAAAUACAUGUGAAAAUGAAUUAAAAAUGUCUGUAUUUAAUGAGACUCUAUCUUCCUUGGCUUUAAUUUCUGUGACCAGACUAAUGAGUUUACAGAGCAGCCAUCAGUGAUGUUGAUCGCAUCAGAUGGAGUCUGCCCGUUGCCGACUUUAUCGCCUUCUGAAAUUCGAGCCGCUUCGCUCAAUUACGGCGCGGGCAGGCAGGCAUCGAAGCUCCGCACCUGCGACACACUCUGCCUCACGUCCACGUCGACCGUGCAGCCGCUCUGACCCCAGAGGAGGAUGACGGAGAGGCUAAAUGGCGCCGCGGAAGGGAGAGAGACAGGCCGGCGGAGCAAAUCUGGCAGGUUCAGCGACGUGGAGGGGAAACGGGACGAGGGCGACGACAGGAGGCAGAAAAGUACAGGAAGAGAAGCAGAAGGAGAGAAACUAAAGAUUUUUUAUCCAUUGGUGUUUGUGGACAAACCAUCGUCAUCGUCGCAUCUGACACAGAAACCAAACGUAAUGACGAAGGGAAAAACAGAAGGCAACAAACUUGGAAGCGCCUGUGCAAUAAAGCAAGACGGCAAAAGGGGAAGAGGGAUUUGAAUAGUAAAUAAUGAUGCAGGGCCAGAGAUAGACGGAGCAGAGAAGAAGGGUAAUUAAUGAAAGAGGGAGCGAGGGAACGAGGGGAAGACAAAGAUGGAGAAAAGCACAAAGACUAGAUAAAUGACUGUAAGCAGAGAGGAGGAGCUCAGCAUCAGCACACAAUGACUUCCUGCGAGUGCGCGAUCAUUGACUCCCCACAACAAUAAGCGCUCACAUCUGCAUGUGAAUAAUGAAUGUGGAAAUCCUUAAACAUCAUUAAAACUCAAACGCAGCACUUCAGCGUUGGCGCCAUUGUUUCCCCUCAGACGCGGCGGCACAGCAAAAGCAGCGAGCGUGGAUUCCUUCCAUAUGUCACAAUAUUUAUAGGCUGCGGUGAGCAGCUUAACAAGCUGACCUUUCCAGCGCCGCGUCCUUUAAUACAGCACUAAUUAAUGAGGUGGCCUCAAAAGGUUGGACCACCCAAAUUACAACAAUGCACUGUAUUUCCUCACAGAACACAGCGACAACCAGAAUAACCAGUGAGCUGCUUCAGGUAGACACCAGUAAGAGACUGGUCCCAGUGUCUGGUCCCAGUCUUUUCUCUUUGGGCUGAUUUAACGUGACGCCACUUUGAGCCUUUAGGAAGACGGGUGGCUUCAUUUUAUUCCUGCGCUCCUAAAGUACGCGAGAGCUGGAGCUGCAACAGCUGCUUCAAAGACAGAGAAGAUGUGGAAGAUGCUGCCGAGCGGUCGCCUGUUGGGACUUUCGCGCGCAUGUAAUGUGACGGCGUGUUUGAAAAGACGAUGUGAUUUAUCUGUGUGGGUUUGAGCAAAUAUAAAAAAACAAAUGUUAACUUUUUUUCAAUAAACUGUGUAUUUUUGCAUCCA
This 1801-nucleotide long non-coding RNA is filed under the name Betta splendens (Siamese fighting fish). RNAcentral's name for it is "lncRNA (ENSBSLG00000008110.1)". The record is from RNAcentral. Lineage: Eukaryota; Metazoa; Chordata; Actinopteri; Anabantiformes; Osphronemidae.